This 485-nucleotide ribosomal RNA is filed under the name uncultured bacterium. RNAcentral describes it as "partial 16S ribosomal RNA". It matches the Rfam family "Bacterial small subunit ribosomal RNA", at positions 30 to 506 of the family's 1533-position model. The record is from RNAcentral.
AUUGAACGCUGGCGGCAUGCCUUACACAUGCAAGUCGAACGGCAGCACGGGUGCUUGCACCUGGUGGCGAGUGGCGAACGGGUGAGUAAUACAUCGGAACAUGUCCUGUAGUGGGGGAUAGCCCGGCGAAAGCCGGAUUAAUACCGCAUACGAUCUACGGAUGAAAGCGGGGGACCUUCGGGCCUCGCGCUAUAGGGUUGGCCGAUGGCUGAUUAGCUAGUUGGUGGGGUAAAGGCCUACCAAGGCGACGAUCAGUAGCUGGUCUGAGAGGACGACCAGCCACACUGGGACUGAGACACGGCCCAGACUCCUACGGGAGGCAGCAGUGGGGAAUUUUGGACAAGGGGCGAAAGCCUGAUCCAGCAAUGCCGCGUGUGUGAAGAAGGCCUUCGGGUUGUAAAGCACUUUUGUCCGGAAAGAAAUCCUUGGCCCUAAUACGGUCGGGGGAUGACGGUACCGGAAGAAUAGGCACCGGCUAACUACGU